ACGACGAGGAGGAGGAAUGAUUGGGUGUAGUGUUGGUGUUGGUGAUGCGCGUAGGGAAGAAAACGCCA
Molecule: transfer RNA, 68 nt
Filed under: Proboscia alata
Lineage: Eukaryota; Bacillariophyta; Melosirophyceae; Probosciales; Probosciaceae
Description: partial Selenocysteine transfer RNA
Source: RNAcentral